AGUGAACGCUGGCGGUAGGCCUAACACAUGCAAGUCGAACGGCAGCACAGUAAGAGCUUGCUCUUACGGGUGGCGGGUGGCGGACGGGUGAGGAAUACAUCGGAAUCUACUUUUUCGUGGGGGAUAACGUAGGGAAACUUACGCUAAUACCGCAUACGACCUACGGGUGAAAGCAGGGGAUCUUCGGACCUUGCGCGAUUGAAUGAGCCGAUGUCGGAUUAGCUAGUUGGCGGGGUAAAGGCCCACCAAGGCGACGAUCCGUAGCUGGUCUGAGAGGAUGAUCAGACACACUGGAACUGAGACACGGUCCAGACUCCUACGGGAGGCAGCAGUGGGGAAUAUUGGACAAUGGGCGCAAGCCUGAUCCAGCCAUACCGCGUGGGUGAAGAAGGCCUUCGGGUUGUAAAGCCCAUUUGUUGGGAAAGAAAAGCAGCAGGUUAAUACCCCGCUGUUCCGACGGUACCCAAAGAAUAAGCACCGGCUAACUUCGUG
Molecule: ribosomal RNA, 492 nt
Filed under: uncultured bacterium
Lineage: Bacteria
Description: partial 16S ribosomal RNA
Rfam family: Bacterial small subunit ribosomal RNA
Source: RNAcentral